CAGUGGCGAACGGGUGAGUAACACGUGAGUAACCUGCCCCAGACUCUGGGAUAACCCCGGGAAACCGAGGCUAAUACCGGAUAUGACACAGACAGGCAUCUGUACUGUGUGGAAAGUUUUUCGGUCUGGGAUGGACUCGCGGCCUAUCAGCUUGUUGGUGAGGUAACGGCUCACCAAGGCGACGACGGGUAGCCGGCCUGAGAGGGCGACCGGCCACACUGGGACUGAGACACGGCCCAGACUCCUACGGGAGGCAGCAGUGGGGAAUAUUGCGCAAUGGGCGAAAGCCUGACGCAGCGACGCCGCGUGAGGGAUGAAGGCCUUCGGGUUGUAAACCUCUUUCAGCAGGGAAGAAGCGCAAGUGACGGUACCUGCAGAAGAAGCACCGGCUAACUACGUGCCAGCAGCCGCGGUAAUACGUAGGGUGCAAGCGUUGUCCGGAAUUAUUGGGCGUAAAGAGCUCGUAGGCGGUCUGUCGCGUCUGGUGUGAAAAUCCAGGGCUUAACCCUGGACCUGCAUCGGGUACGGGCAGACUAGAGUGCGGUAGGGGAGAUCGGAAUUCCUGGUGUAGCGGUGAAAUGCGCAGAUAUCAGGAGGAACACCGGUGGCGAAGGCGGAUCUCUGGGCCGUAACUGACGCUG
RNAcentral lists this ribosomal RNA (641 nucleotides) under Angustibacter sp. I15A-00801. RNAcentral describes it as "bacterial SSU rRNA". It matches the Rfam family "Bacterial small subunit ribosomal RNA", at positions 93 to 748 of the family's 1533-position model. The record is from RNAcentral. Lineage: Bacteria; Bacillati; Actinomycetota; Actinomycetes; Kineosporiales; Kineosporiaceae.